This is a long non-coding RNA of Anas platyrhynchos (mallard), 7817 nucleotides long. RefSeq lists it as uncharacterized. The record is from RefSeq and is a predicted model, not a curated record. Lineage: Eukaryota; Metazoa; Chordata; Aves; Anseriformes; Anatidae.
AACAUGAGAACAUGAGAAUCCUUUUUUUUUUUUUUUUUUUUUUAAAUGUGGGAACCUUUGCUCGCAUUGCUUUGAAAGUUCCAAUUUCCUUCAAUUAUUAAAAAUAUGGCAGUUCAACUCCCAGCUUUUAAAUCAAAGUUAGACCUCAAAUUCUCUUACAGUCUGAGAGCAAAAUCUGACAAAGCCUUCAGCUGUGAUUGUCUUGGGAACCAUUCCUUAGGGUAUUGAACUGAGCACCAACAUCACUGAAGCAUAAGACAUCCCCCAUCUGUUCUCUUACAAUAUAUCCAUUUCCCCCCUUUUUCCUCUGCCCUCACCUACACCCCUAACUCCCCCAUUUCUGAAAAUAAGAUUCAGGUAACUUUUUGCUUCAUUUUAGCAAUCUCUAAUAAUAACCAGUUUUGUUUGCUCUUUGAAUUGAAAGGAAGCAUGAUACAAAAGUAGUUAUCUGAAGUUUCACCUUAAGUCGUGUUAGAAAUACAAACAAAUUAUUUGGCUCUAAAGUGAGGAAAGGCAGUGAAUUAAAUAUCUUGAAACGAGAUGACAGGUGAAGUCAUGGAGACACCAUGAAAUGCAGCACCACUGAAAGCAGGGUAAAAAAGACACUUGUUCCAGGAUAUUCUUUAAGGUGGUACAGCACAGAACGAAACAUCUUCAGGUCACAUCAGAUACUGCUCUUGCCCUUGCUGCUAGCCAGGAGGAGGACUUGCUCUCCAACAGUGUAUGGAUGCCUGGUGAGCAUCAAGUGCUGGAAGAGUGUGCAUUGAGAAAGGGUGCUAAAAUAUCUCACUACUGUCAAUACACCAUUCAUCUUUGCUUAAGCAAGCUGUGAAAAUGACUGGUGAGCUGCCUGAGUACUGUUACUCUAUAACUGAUCAUGGUUUAUUUUUACCAAAACUUUAUUAAAUCCUAAUGCUUUGCUUUUGUACAUGACUCUCCUUGACUGACCUUGAAAACAUCUUAUGAAAACAAGUAAACAUUAUUUCCUCUUACAAAGGACACACAAAUUCUAUGGCAAAGACAACACAUACCAAGCUUAAGGAUGUACAAGUUCUGUUGAGAGAAAUAGAAAGGUGAGGAAGCUGCUUUGCUCAGUUACCAGAAAACUGGUAACUGGUGCUCUCCAUCUCCAGGUGACCAUUAGGAUGAGAAACUUGUGUCACUUGCCCUUUCCUUGAGAGUUCUAGUUAACAUCCAACCUAUCUUGAAGCAAAGAAACACACAACACUAUCAAAUUAAAUAAGUUCUAAGUCACUGUAUGUUACAAAGAUGUUAACCAUGACUGAAAAAAGUAAUCUGAAUUAUUUUUCUAUUUUACCACUAAUGAUAGGUUACUAACAGCUGUAAGUUUAAACAUGCUUUGUCAAUUAAUUAUAUAUAUAUCACAGCUGACAUUUUAAUAUUUAGUAUUAUCUGUUAAUGCUUAAUAAGAAAUUAAAAAUGUGAUUUAGAUCUUGACUUCUAACUGUUUAUUCUUUAAAAAUUGACUAGGGUAACUGUUUAAUGGUUUUUCCUUUAAUUUAAUUUUAUUUGUGUGGUUAUUGGAUAACCACUUUGCCAUACUUAAUUUCAUUGCAUUGAGACAUCCUGAUUACAGUGGUGUCAUAAAUACCUCAUUUAUAUUUGGUGUUUCCAAUUUUGCCUUUCUGCCAAAAUCAGCUUUAAAUGUAAAAUAAAACCAGACUUCUUCUAUAUGACACUUAACCCUAGGUUACUACUAUUAGACAGUAUAAACACUGUUUUCUAGCUAACACCUCUAAAGCAUUUACAGAAAAUUGUUUCCUUGGCAUGCAAGUUAUUGGCCAUAAGGUUUAAAGAUUUUCUGGUCAAUUCUAAAAUUAACAAUCACCUAACAGUUAACAACACAACUCAACUGCUAGCUCAAUGUUGCCUUGCAAAAAAAAAAUUGUAAAGAAAUAUAUCUAGGCAAAACUGUUAUGCAGAACUCAAAAAAUAUGCUGCAGGUUUCAUAUUUUUUCUCUUUUUAACAAACCAUAUUUUUACAAACCACUUUUUAGCAAAUCUGUAUUCCUUCUGGAUCUCUAUGAAGUAUAUCUCCUUUUUGCAUUUUUGUGUAAUCUUCAAAGAGCUGUCAUCUGUACUACAUAUUGCUGUCAGGUUUAGAUAAACACAUCCAUUUUGCUCACUUCAACAUGUCAUGAUCUUUUAGAGACAGAUGCAGGAAAAGCAGCAUGAAGCAGUAUUGUAUGAUAUUAAUUAUAUAUAACUGAUGUACACAUUUAACCUUUCUAUUGCAGGGCAUUAUUCAAAUAAGUCUGUGCCAGCUUUAGGAAACCUUUGUCUUUUUUAGGACAUUUUGUUUUAAUUAUCCAAGACAAUAUUUUUAUACUUCCAGUAUAAUGUUUCAUUUAUUACUUUUUUUUUUUAGUGGAAAUGCAUUCUGUCUAAAAUGUAGAAGCUUAUGCAAGUGGAUAAAGUUCAGAUUGAUCAUAUGUGUAUUGGAUUUCCUGGAUUUGUGAUUACAUAUUUCUAAAAUUCCUAGAGCUAACAGGAAUUAAGAAGUUUGGCAAUUGCUCAAAAAUAGCAAAUCAGCCCUUCUGGAUGUUAGCACUGGGUUAAUACUUAUAUGGAUAAUUGAGUCUCUCAAACAGGAUGGCUGGUUGCAGAGGGAAGGCAGAAGGCUCUUAUACCAUAGCACGCAGAGGUUUAUUAGGAUCAGCAGUUGAAGAAUAAGGUCUUAGUGAAGAUCAAAACCUUAGUGGCAGCAUCUAUCAAACUGCAGAAGCCAGAAAUAAUGACGCCUGGAGCUGUUUAAAAAAUAAUUGUAUGCCGAGACAAUCCAGCAGAAGAAAGGCUGUGACAAGACUGCCAGCCCUUGUUGGGAGCAUGAGAGCAUAGUCACAGGCAGAAUGCCUCUGACAGCCCAGCAAGUGGCACUUGUAUGGUCCUACCUCAGGUAAUACAACUGCAUGUCACACUGCAUUCCCUGCUGGCAACCACGGAGUACAUCUGAGACAUGCUUGUACUUCUGUAUCUGUUUCAUUGACCGCACUUGAAUCAAUGACAAGGCUCUGUCACAGCCCACCAGCAUGGUGUUUUCACACCACAAAGCUGAACCUUCACCUUCUGCACUGCCAUGUGUUGAUUUCAUGCUGCACAGUAUUUGAAAGGGCAAGGCCCACUGGGUCUGAAUGGUCGCCUCAGACGGAGGAAGGAAAAACACAUGGUCUGCACACACACACAGCUUCCCUCAGGACUAGGCCUUGGGCUGAGUUUCCUUGUCAGUUGUGCCAAGGAACCACUUGUCCUGCCAUCUAUCACAACCUGGGGUGAGAUCGACCCACUCAUGGACAGGGCUUUUGGCCUAGAUGUCAGAGUCCAGGCUGUUAGGGUGCCUCCAGCCCUGACUGUCCCUUUCCAGCCGCCAGGGUACUCCCCCACAGCCCUGAGCCCCAUUUCAAAGCAGGAGGCAGGUCUUCUCCGCACAGCUCAGUGACAGAGGGACACUGGCAGGUUCUACUUUUUUGGUGGCCCUCACUCCUGCUCUACAACUCCUAUUCACAUCUAGCAAAUCCAGUUCUGUCCUUGAACUGGCACCUGAAUGCUCUGGAAGAAAAGUAUUGAUGGAGAUCAAGAGCCAAUGAGAGAGUCACUGACAUUCAGAGAUGCAGUGAUGAAACUUCCCACAAAAAAUUAGAGUCAUCUCCUCAGCUUUCAAGAUGUUUGAGUAAUCCAGCCUGAUCGUCCAGCCUUGACCUAAUAAACGUAUCUAUUUUUGUGCUAACAAACACCCUGAGCACUACUAGCUUAUUAAUUCUGGAAGAAGCAAUGGAUAUUUACAUUUACUAAGUAGGAAAAUUACUAUCAUUUUCCAGUUUUAAUAUACGUCUUUUAUUUAAUUUAGGCACAAUCACAGAAAAAUAUAGAUUGGAAGGACUCUCUGGAUGUUAUGUAAUUAAACCCCUGCUCACAGUGGGAUUAGAUCAAAAUUAGAUCUGUCUGCUCUGGGCCUUUUCUAGUUAAGAUUUGAGAAUUUCUAAGGAUGGAAAUUUCACAAUAUCUUCAUGGAACUUAUUCCUGUGUUUAACCCUCUCUUUGUAAGAUUUCUUUUUUUGGAGUUCUGAAGUACAUGUACAUCUUCAAUAAUUUCGUAAAGUAAAGGAAAAAAAGAAAAAAAGAAAAAAGAUAAAACAAGGCAAAAAUAUUAAUUUAAAAUAAGUCGUAUUUUAGUUAUAUUUUCUUACUGUUCCUUUCUGAAUGACAGGAAAAACAAAUAAAUCCCAAGAAGAACAAACACAAAGCUCACAAAUUAAAUGUUUUUAUUCAGUUCCAGCAGGCAUUUUAUUUGACUGGGGAAAAAAAAAAUGUUUAUUUUUUCCCAUAAGAAGAAAAUGAAAUUUUAUUGUAUCAAGCAAUAUUAAAAAUCAGUUAUUUACACAGUCUUCUAGACUAUUUUAAUACUAUUCAUACUGCUCACAGAACAUUUUUGCAUUUCCUUGUGUGCCCAGGAUUUUAUUGUGGGUUUAUUAGUCCAUUAGUCCUAUUAAUAAAGUAUGAGUAUUUUAUGAGUGUUCAUUUUGUGAAUACUACAGAUUUGUAGUUCAGAAUUACUGAACUGCUUCAGGGGGCAACAGAAUCAGCAACAUUCUGUCACUUUCAUUUUGUAAUAGUAAGAAAAAGAAUUAUUAUAUCAAAGAUUUGAAACAAUUCUCAAAUAAAUAGUGAGAAUACAGCUGACAAUGGUGUUCAAUAAGUCAGGGACUGCACAUAUGUUGAAAGACAAAUAGAAUUCAAAAUGAUCUUGGCAAACUAGAAAAAUAGUCUUAAAUCACUAUGAUAUUUAAGAAAGUCAAGUGGAAGAUUCAUUAAUAUAGUCUAGUACAGGAAUACAGAAUGGGAGCAACUGGUGAGCUAGCAGUUUUGUAAAUGAAAUAUUUAGAUAUUACAGUGGCCAAGACAAUGAAUAGACCCAGUGAUAUUGUUCUCUAGAGCUACAGAUGAACAACAGCCAGUAGCAUGUAAAGGGAGUGAUAGCCUGUAUGACAUAAAAUUGUUUUUCCUCCCUUUUAAAAACUGUUUUUUGACUUGGAGUUUGUGCAAGCCUGGGGCUCUGAUCUUCAUGAAAGAUGAGGAGGAGUUGCUGAAAAGGAUUUGUCUGAAGCAAGACAUGAAAAUACACUUCAGAUCUAUGAAAGACUGCUGAUGAAAGGAAGUGAGCAAACCGUUCUCCACAUUGGAGUUAAAACAGGCCUAAAAUUUCUAGAAAGUUUCUAGAAAGUAAAAUUUCUAGAAAAACCUUUCUAGAAAGUUAUCUUAUUUUGGCAAGAUUUUCCAGAUGGUUUAUUAGAACCUGUUAUAUACUUUCAUCAUAAUAGAAACAUCACAGUAUUUUAAUGUCUGAAAUAAAAUCGCUAUUUGUUUCCAGGGUCUUUUGAUUUGGGAUGGUAUGCCAUUUCACUCUUAAGGAGAUUAAGAGCACUCUGAUUAAUUUUUAUUAGCAAUAAAGACUCAAAGUAAAUGUCAGACUAUGUAAAUAAACAUGUUUUGUCUAUUCUACACAAGGUAAUUUUGCAAACUUCAAGAUGAUACAGAAUUAAAUUAUUCCUUUAUGAAAUUUACUGGUUUUCAGCUUCAGGAUUCUGAUUUACUGUACUUCCAGUCUCUUCUAAUUCUGAAAUUAUUUUAAAUACAUUUAUAUUUAAUCACAUGCAUGCAUAUGUGUAUUUUAAGGUUCAAAGAAGUGCUUAAUUCACAAACUACUGAAAACCAUAAUUCUUUCUAAUUCUAACUACAGGUAGUUGUGGCUUAAACUUGUAAGAGUGAUAUUAACACAUCCACCUAUUAUACUUAUUUAUUGGAAGCUCUAGCAAAUAUUGAUGCUGGAAAAUGGCAUGGAGGUGACAGUGGGAUCUGCAGGAAAGAUCGACUACCUUCUAGAGAUUUCUGAUGGUCUUUGAUAAGAGCCUUGCAAUCUAUACUUGAAGGCUGCUGCUCUAUUCACUGGAGCUGUUGUGUGCUACAUCUAAUCAAGCAGUGAGUCAGUGGCAUGAGGUUAGUGGAAUACUAACUCUUGGAUAUUAUUGCUAUAUUCAUUCAGCUUCUUUGUUGAGAUGUGAGUCAUCAUAUUCACAGAUUGUGGCAUCUUACAAAUUUUUUUUGCUAAUUUUUUGCUCUCAUUGCUAAUUCUUCAAGGGAAAUUUGCCCAAUACUUGUGAUUUUUUUUUUUAAUAUUUUAUUAUUAUUAUUAUUAUUGUUAGAGGGCUGUAAUACACUAUAAGGACUCCAAAGGAAGAAAAAAAAAAAUGCAGCUGCCUCCUAAAACAAAAACAUGAUUUUGCAAGAAGCACUACCAUGACAACAGCAUUGUUGGAACCACUUGCAUCCAAACAAUAGAACAGGGAAAAAGAAAACGAUCUUCCCAACCCUUACCUGAUCUCUAAAGAAGAUUAAAAAUCAACAGUCAUUGAUAGUGUGCAGGGUUGGUAAGAAUUCUGCCAAAAAUCUACUCAGUCAACAUUAUAAGAGCACUUCUUUCUUGUAGUGACAUUUAUAGCAAUUCCACGAAUUCAGAGGAAAACAGUUUAAAUGAAAAUGGUUUUCCAUAGCCUCCCAAAUAAACACCUAGUAAAUGGAAGGCUGGAGACAGAGUUGUGACUGACAGACUUCUUAUUGCUAAAUAAUCAAUUUAGCAUCAUCUUCUCACCCGAGGGAAAACGUUAAUGAACAGUUCUAAUAACAAAACUUUCUAUGUGGCCCAUAUGAAUUGGAAUCUCAAAUUAGUUGUAUGGAACCCACACAGAACGCAAAACUGACUUAUUCUUCACAGAAAUGUUCCAUUAAGAGAGAAAAUUUUGUUAUAGUGGCAGUUUCUGAUUUUGAGUUUAAAUACAAUGAAUAAAUCCAGAAUAAGCUUACUGACAUAGGACCAUGACAGUUGUCAUGGAAAUAAUAAAAAGUAGAUUAGGAAAAUAAAAUAGGAUACAAAUCUUGUACUCCUAAUAUAAGAGACAAUAGAUACAGCUCUUCCUCCCUGUUCUUGACUGUAAUGUGUUAGUGGAAAUGCCGUGAGCAUGAAAUAUGAUCAGUUAAAAGAAAUGAAAUAAAAGAAACCAAAGCCUGAUAGGCAUAAAUUUCUGUUCUUCAAGGAAAGAGAAAAGCUGAUAAUUUAGAGAAGAAAGUGAAAAUGACAAUAUCAAAAGUGCUAUCAAAUGUACAAAUGAAUAACCCAAAAAUAUAAAAGUGAUUUUUUUUUUCCCAUGGUCGUUAUUCAGGUAUAGUAAUUUCACAGGUUUUGUGUUGUCUUAGUCAUUGUCAUUGUUUUGCUUGUUUGGUUUUGUAAUAGCAGGAUACAUCCUCAUGUCACUGGUACUCAGCUGUUUUCCCAUAGGGUGAAUAAAAGCACAGUGCUUUCCUUUUGGGAAGCAUAUCACACAUUGCAGUGUGGAACAACCUGUUUUGUAAACAAGGUUGUUGUUCCUUUCCUUUUCCACCCUUGCUUCCAUAAGAUGGAAAGUAGCUGGUACUUGGAUAUCACUCUGCAGUCCAUCACCUCUUUCAUCUUCUCUAUAAUCGAGGCAGGGUUCAACUUGAUCCAUCUAAUACACUUAUAGCCUUAGUUUAUGCUCUCUGUAUAAGCAGGUCAAGAAAGCUUGAUAAUCACCAGAAAAGCAAUUAAAAACUCUCUUAAAUAUCUGACAUAGUAUAUGCUGAAGGGCUCUGAAGAAACUCACCUCUGGUUUUGAUGAUAGAGAACUCUCUCAGGUAGAGCAUUGAAUCACUAGAAGGAUAGGUGACUCAGGUGAAAAGAACUCUGCUUUAAAAACUUUCUCUUUAUUUGCAUGUGAAAGUAACAUCCU